AUGGCCGCUUUUCGGGAUGUACUGAUGACAUGUGAGUUAGUCGAUUUGGGGUUUUCUGGCAUACCCUAUACAUACGACAAUAUGCGUUCGGGAUCGGCAAAUGUACGCGUGCGGCUGGAUCUUGCGGUGGCAACAAAUGAGUGGAGGAACAUGUUCGCAUACUCUUCUGUGCAACACCUUGCAUCCCCUUGUUCAGACCAUAUCCCAUUGCUGCUGAAGUUUGAUGCAGAGCAGGAGAGGCCUAGAGCCAAAGCACGGCGAUAUGAAAUCUUUUGGGAAGGGGACGCAGAAUUGCCAGAUCUUGUAAACAAGGCGUGGUCGGCCUUCGGUGCAAUGGAGAACCUGGGACAGGUUAGUGCUGCCUUGCAAUCAACCAUGACAUCACUCCGGUCAUGGAGUAACAGAAGGUUUGGGAACGUUACAAGGGAAAUCAAUAAAUCACGCAGCCAGCUUGAGGAACUAAUGCGAAUGAAUGCUGAUAGACAGGAAAUAAGGAAGGUGUCUGACAAACUAAACGAGCUUCUGUACAAAGAGGAGAUGCUAUGGUUGCAACGCUCGCGUAUCAUGUGGCUGAAAGAGGGAGAUAGGAACACAAAGUUUUUUCAGAGUAAGUCUGUAUGGCGUGCACGGAAAAAACAGAAUUAA
RNAcentral lists this ribosomal RNA (645 nucleotides) under Triticum aestivum (bread wheat). RNAcentral describes it as "partial small subunit ribosomal RNA". Lineage: Eukaryota; Viridiplantae; Streptophyta; Magnoliopsida; Poales; Poaceae. The record is from RNAcentral.